RNAcentral lists this ribosomal RNA (867 nucleotides) under uncultured cyanobacterium. RNAcentral describes it as "bacterial SSU rRNA". It matches the Rfam family "Bacterial small subunit ribosomal RNA", at positions 8 to 916 of the family's 1533-position model. The record is from RNAcentral. Lineage: Bacteria; Bacillati; Cyanobacteriota.
AGAGUUUGAUCCUGGCUCAGGACGAACGCUGGCGGUGUGCUUCACACAUGCAAGUCGAACGAGGUAGCAAUACCUAGUGGCGGACGGGUGAGUAACGCGUGGGAAUCUGCCUUUAGAUGGGGGAUAACGGGUCGAAAGACUCGCUAAUACCGCAUAUGACGAAAGUUGAAAGGAGUAAUCCGUCUAAAGAUGAGCCCGCGUCCGAUUAGCUAGUUGGUAGAGUAAAAGCCUACCAAGGCGACGAUCGGUAGCUGGUCUGAGAGGAUGAUCAGCCACAAUGGGACUGAGACACGGCCCAUACUCCUACGGGAGGCAGCAGUGGGGAAUUUUACGCAAUGGGCGAAAGCCUGACGUAGCGACACCGCGUGAGCGAAGAAGCCCCUUGGGGUGUAAAGCUCUGUCAGCUGGAACGAAAAAAAUGACGGUACCAGCAGAGGAAGCAUCGGCUAACUACGUGCCAGCAGCCGCGGUAAGACGUAGGAUGCAAGCGUUGUCCGGAUUUAUUGGGCGUAAAGAGUUCGUAGGUGGUUUGUUAAGUUUGGUGUUAAAGAUUGGGGCUCAACCCUGAAACUGCACUGAAUACUGGCAGACUCGAGUGUGGUAGAGGCUAGUGGAAUUCCCAGUGUAGCGGUGAAAUGCGUAGAUAUUGGGAAGAACACCGGUGGCGUAGGCGACUAGCUGGGCCAUAACUGACACUGAGGAACGAAAGCCAGGGGAGCGAAUGGGAUUAGAUACCCCAGUAGUCCUGGCCGUAAACGAUGGAUACUAGGCGUAUCGGGUAUCGACCCCUGAUGUGCCGCAGCUAACGCGAUAAGUAUCCCGCCUGAGUAGUACGGCCGCAAGGUUGAAACUCAAAGGAAUUGACGG